GGUUGAGAGGGUGAUCUGGUUGGGACAUCUGUCACCCCAUUCAUGCCAGGGUUGAUUUGGCUGCUCUGGUUGGCCAGGCAGGUGUCCCUGUCCUUCCUAACUGCUGCAUGUGCACACCUCCCAAAACCGCAUGCUUGAUCCAAGAGAACGACCGCGCCCAUAGAGGAAAAUUGUUCUUCAGCCAAGGAUCUAUGAGUAGCUAUGCUGUCCUGUUAGAACCUCCAAUCAAGCUCUCAAAGUCCAUUUGUAGAAGAACAGACUGUAGUCAAGCUUCCAAAGCUCCAGACACAUCCAAUGAGGCACUGAAUGUGGCAGUCUACAUUUUU
Molecule: small nuclear RNA, 326 nt
Filed under: Ursus maritimus (polar bear)
Lineage: Eukaryota; Metazoa; Chordata; Mammalia; Carnivora; Ursidae
Description: 7SK RNA (ENSUMAG00000002869.1)
Rfam family: 7SK RNA
About the family: 7SK was discovered as an abundant small nuclear RNA in the mid-70s but a possible function has only recently been suggested. Two independent studies have found that 7SK RNA binds the CDK9/cyclin T complex (known as elongation factor P-TEFb).
Source: Rfam by way of RNAcentral